Molecule: small nucleolar RNA, 133 nt
Filed under: Cyprinodon variegatus (sheepshead minnow)
Lineage: Eukaryota; Metazoa; Chordata; Actinopteri; Cyprinodontiformes; Cyprinodontidae
Description: Small nucleolar RNA SNORA70 (ENSCVAG00000011392.1)
Rfam family: Small nucleolar RNA SNORA70
About the family: snoRNA U70 seems to be exclusive to mammals and is a member of the H/ACA class of snoRNA which contain H (ANANNA) and ACA box motifs.
Source: Rfam by way of RNAcentral
CUGCAGCUUAUUAAGCCGACCGGUUCUGCUGCAGUGCGGCUCCGGUGUGCAAAGGCUGCAGACAGUGAUUCUGUGGUUGUGUAAGUCCUCAGCUGCGAGGUGCUGAGGGCUUUAAGGGACCGCUGAGACAAAC